GAUGAACGCUGGCGGCGUGCCUAAUACAUGCAAGUCGAGCGAACGGACGAGAAGCUUGCUUCUCUGAUGUUAGCGGCGGACGGGUGAGUAACACGUGGAUAACCUACCUAUAAGACUGGGAUAACUUCGGGAAACCGGAGCUAAUACCGGAUAAUAUUUUGAACCGCAUGGUUCAGAAGUGAAAGACGGUCUUGCUGUCACUUAUAGAUGGAUCCGCGCUGCAUUAGCUAGUUGGUAAGGUAACGGCUUACCAAGGCAACGAUGCAUAGCCGACCUGAGAGGGUGAUCGGCCACACUGGAACUGAGACACGGUCCAGACUCCUACGGGAGGCAGCAGUAGGGAAUCUUCCGCAAUGGGCGAAAGCCUGACGGAGCAACGCCGCGUGAGUGAUGAAGGUCUUCGGAUCGUAAAACUCUGUUAUUAGGGAAGAACAUAUGUGUAAGUAACUGUGCACAUCUUGACGGUACCUAAUCAGAAAGCCACGGCUAACUACGUGCCAGCAGCCGCGGUAAUACGUAGGUGGCAAGCGUUAUCCGGAAUUAUUGGGCGUAAAGCGCGCGUAGGCGGUUUUUUAAGUCUGAUGUGAAAGCCCACGGCUCAACCGUGGAGGGUCAUUGGAAACUGGAAAACUUGAGUGCAGAAGAGGAAAGUGGAAUUCCAUGUGUAGCGGUGAAAUGCGCAGAGAUAUGGAGGAACACCAGUGGCGAAGGCGACUUUCUGGUCUGUAACUGACGCUGAUGUGCGAAAGCGUGGGGAUCAAACAGGAUUAGAUACCCUGGUAGUCCACGCCGUAAACGAUGAGUGCUAAGUGUUAGGGGGUUUCCGCCCCUUAGUGCUGCAGCUAACGCAUUAAGCGCUCCGCCUGGGGAGUACGACCGCAAGGUUGAAACUCAAAGGAAUUGACGGGGACCCGCACAAGCGGUGGAGCAUGUGGUUUAAUUCGAAGCAACGCGAAGAACCUUACCAAAUCUUGACAUCCUUUGACAACUCUAGAGAUAGAGCCUUCCCCUUCGGGGGACAAAGUGACAGGUGGUGCAUGGUUGUCGUCAGCUCGUGUCGUGAGAUGUUGGGUUAAGUCCCGCAACGAGCGCAACCCUUAAGCUUAGUUGCCAUCAUUAAGUUGGGCACUCUAAGUUGACUGCCGGUGACAAACCGGAGGAAGGUGGGGAUGACGUCAAAUCAUCAUGCCCCUUAUGAUUUGGGCUACACACGUGCUACAAUGGACAAUACAAAGGGCAGCGAAACCGCGAGGUCAAGCAAAUCCCAUAAAGUUGUUCUCAGUUCGGAUUGUAGUCUGCAGCUCGACUACAUGAAGCUGGAAUCGCUAGUAAUCGUAGAUCAGCAUGCUACGGUGAAUACGUUCCCGGGUCU
Molecule: ribosomal RNA, 1372 nt
Filed under: uncultured bacterium
Lineage: Bacteria
Description: bacterial SSU rRNA
Rfam family: Bacterial small subunit ribosomal RNA
Source: RNAcentral